CUUGUUGGGCCCGUUUAUCGAGGUGGAUACCGCUUAGGGUUGCAUUACCUAAUUCUUGAUGAUGGAUUAGCUUCACUGAUCUCGGUCUGAGCGUUAAUUGUAAUGGGGUUCGGCCAUCGGCCAAAUUCCCACGGUGCGGGUCAGCCAUCGGCCAAAUCCCUGUGGUCUUUGGCGGUUUCGGCCAAGCCUUCUAAGGCCUCGGCCUCUCAGCAUAAGUCUUCAAAGGCUUCGGCCUUUCGGCACAAGUCUUCAAAGGCUUCGGCCUCUCGGCACAAGUCUUCAAAGGUUUC
This 290-nucleotide long non-coding RNA is filed under the name Phaseolus vulgaris (common bean). RNAcentral's name for it is "long non-coding RNA (PVUL_LNC003994)". The record is from RNAcentral. Lineage: Eukaryota; Viridiplantae; Streptophyta; Magnoliopsida; Fabales; Fabaceae.